AAACUUACGAGGAAUUACAGAGGCCCGCGUUUUUAUUUACGACGAAUUAGCGACGAAAUACAAAGGCCCGCGUUUUCAUUAACGACGUUUUUACGACGAAAAGGGUUACGUGGAAUUAACGAGUUAAACAGUUACGAGGAAUUGGCGAGCCUUUAUUUUCUAUAAAUACCCACAACUUUCCUUCUCAAACCACACACAAAC
Molecule: long non-coding RNA, 201 nt
Filed under: Brassica napus (rape)
Lineage: Eukaryota; Viridiplantae; Streptophyta; Magnoliopsida; Brassicales; Brassicaceae
Description: long non-coding RNA (BNAP_LNC007895)
Source: RNAcentral